Molecule: long non-coding RNA, 1622 nt
Organism: Phocoena sinus (vaquita)
Lineage: Eukaryota; Metazoa; Chordata; Mammalia; Artiodactyla; Phocoenidae
Source: Ensembl
GGGACCUGAGCACACACACAAUCUUUAAAAAUUUUUUAGAUGUAAUGCAAAUAACUAUACCUAACAUUCUUUCAGAAAACAAAAGAAAUGCAAAACAUGCUCAAAAAACAAGAAAUCAAGUUAUACUUUUCAUAAGGCACCACCAAAAUCCCUGGUAAAUUAGAGUCCAUAUUAUAUUUAAGUGUGUCACUAACAGGUAAAUAAACAUGUAAGAGAAUAAUCAAUAGGUCUUGAGGCUUACAAAAGACAUUCCUGUUUAGACAUCUUGGAGUAUUGCAAAAGUAAGAAUAAGCAGGACACAUCUUUAAAAACCCGUCACAUCCUUUCCCAGUGCACAUCAUUCAUUGCAUAGUGGUGACUGGAUACGAUCCAGACCAAGAGAAGACUAGAAUUCCAAAAUAUAUUAAUAUCCAUUCUUUCCUUCUCAUGCUGUAAAUACUAAAUGCCACGGCACAUCCACAUCCAAAGUAAUGAUAUGCCUUAAUUAAAAACAAAAAAAAAAGUGGGAUUUCAAAAGGUAAAAGGCAAACCAAUUGCCUGCUUUUAAAAAUGUAGACUUAAGGACAUACUGCAAAAGCAACUUUCUACACGCAUAUGAAGCUAGUUCAUAUGUGUACCUUUACUGAACCUGGUUACGUGUGGGUCUUUGCUUAAUUUUCCCCCAAUUUUCAAAUCCCCCUUCAAAUUGCCACUUUCUCCUUAAAAAGUGGAUAAUCCCUCGCUCUGAAAGAAGGGCUUUCUCAGUUUUCCCUUUCACCCUCCUACUUUAAGCACUGGCUGAUAUUCACACAAAUGUACUGUAGAAUUAAAAUAUUGCCAAGUAGGGAGUUUCUCUUACACCGACUGAAUUGCAUCAGAAUCUAAGAAUUAAGAGAAACAAACAAACUGGCAUUUCUUGGACGCGUGUCGAAGACAAAAGUAGCGAAGUGAGGCACAGGUGAAAUCGUUCUCGUCUCACGGGUCAGCCCUCGCCGGGGUCUUGAUUAUUCAAGUACAUCGCGGGCGACCCAGGUUUCACACCUGCCGUUUCAAUUAUCUGAAGCGUGACUUGCAGUAGCUGUUGUUCCAUGAUGCCCACGUGUGAGUCAGGAAGAGCUGGGAGGCAGCAGCUCGGGAAGGAGCCUGGCCCUGCGUCUCCACACAUCUCUGCAGGGUCACUACAGGCAGCGAGGCCAACCCCGGCUGCAGGGACCACAAGAGAGCUGUCGUUGCACUUGCGCGGUUCCAAGGACCUACUCUUGACCUACCAGUUUUCAUCUUCCUUCCUAUAACCUUUGCCAAAAUGGUUAUAAUGACGUGGUGAGAAAUACCUUUGAAAGAAUUAACGAAUAGUUAAAGAACGAGUGGUGCAGAACUGCGACUCUGAGGAGAUAGGAAGGGUUAAAGAAACAUUUUAAAUCAAGUUUUAAUAUGAAAUGUUACAACACCGCAGAAUGGAGUUACGUUAUAAAAUAAGUACUUUCCUCUAAGUGAAAAAACAUCGUCAUUUCUUUACAGAUGAAUCUUAGUUCACUAAUUACAAAAUUACACAUUUCCAUAUAUUUUUCUUUUCUCUUUCUUUUUUUAAACUGUCUCUCAUCUGUUCUCAACCUUUGGUCUAAAUGGUCAAAAGUCAGACCAAA